CGGGACGGGUGAGUAACGCGUGGGUAACCUGCCUCAUACAGGGGGAUAACAGUUAGAAAUGACUGCUAAUACCGCAUAAGCGCACAGGACCGCAUGGUCAAGUGUGAAAAACUCCGGUGGUAUGAGAUGGACCCGCGUCUGAUUAGCUGGUUGGUGAGGUAACGGCCCACCAAGGCGACGAUCAGUAGCCGACCUGAGAGGGUGGCCGGCCACAUUGGGACUGAGACACGGCCCAGACUCCUACGGAAGGCAGCAG
This 256-nucleotide ribosomal RNA is filed under the name uncultured bacterium. RNAcentral's name for it is "partial 16S ribosomal RNA". It matches the Rfam family "Bacterial small subunit ribosomal RNA", at positions 98 to 354 of the family's 1533-position model. The record is from RNAcentral.